AGAGUUAAAUAGUACGUGAAAUUGUUGAAAGGGAAACGAUUGAAGUCAGUCAUGCCGGCGGGAAUCAACUUAGGGGAAACUCUGAGUGCACUUCACGUUUGGCAGGUUAGCGUCGAUUUUGGAUGUCAUAAAAUGAUUGGGGGAAGGUAGCUCCUUCGGGAGUGUUAUAGCACUUGGUAGAUGUGAUGUCCGGGAUCGAGGAUUGCAACGGAUACCCUUUGGGCUAGCCGCCUGAUCUCUAAUUGGUGUUGGGUUACGGACAGCAUGCUGACCGUGAUCUAAUUAUUGGUUAAAAGGUUAGAGCGAGUAUAAAUUCGUUAAGGACGCUGACGUAAUGGCUUUAAACGACC
Molecule: ribosomal RNA, 350 nt
Filed under: Dentiscutata heterogama
Lineage: Eukaryota; Fungi; Glomeromycota; Glomeromycetes; Diversisporales; Gigasporaceae
Description: partial large subunit ribosomal RNA
Source: RNAcentral